AGUGAACGCUGGCGGUAGGCCUAACACAUGCAAGUCGAACGGCAGCACAGUAAAAGCUUGCUCUUACGGGUGGCGAGUGGCGGACGGGUGAGGAAUACAUCGGAAUCUACUUUUUCGUGGGGGAUAACGUAGGGAAACUUACGCUAAUACCGCCUACGACCUACGGGUGAAAGCAGGGGAUCUUCGGACCUUGCGCGAUUGAAUGAGCCGAUGUCGGAUUAGCUAGUUGGCGGGGUAAAGGCCCACCAAGGCGACGAUCCGUAGCUGGUCUGAGAGGAUGAUCAGCCACACUGGAACUGAGACACGGUCCAGACUCCUACGGGAGGCAGCAGUGGGGAAUAUUGGACAAUGGGCGCAAGCCUGAUCCAGCCAUACCGCGUGGGUGAAGAAGGCCUUCGGGUUGUAAAGCCCUUUUGUUGGGAGAGAAAAGCAGCAGGUUAAUACCCCGCUGUUCUGACGGUACCCAAAGAAUAAGCACCGGCUAACUUCGUG
RNAcentral lists this ribosomal RNA (492 nucleotides) under uncultured bacterium. RNAcentral's name for it is "partial 16S ribosomal RNA". It matches the Rfam family "Bacterial small subunit ribosomal RNA", at positions 29 to 507 of the family's 1533-position model. The record is from RNAcentral.